This 54-nucleotide transfer RNA is filed under the name Bos taurus (domestic cattle). It matches the Rfam family "tRNA", at positions 10 to 63 of the family's 71-position model. Rfam says of the family: Transfer RNA (tRNA) molecules are approximately 80 nucleotides in length. Their secondary structure includes four short double-helical elements and three loops (D, anti-codon, and T loops). The record is from Rfam by way of RNAcentral. Lineage: Eukaryota; Metazoa; Chordata; Mammalia; Artiodactyla; Bovidae. RNAcentral also lists the same sequence under 4 other names.
UUCAAAAGGUAAGGAAUCUGCCUGCAAUGCAGGAGACCCAGGUUCAAUCCCUGG